GAGAGAAUAUCCAAUACAAAUAUUCGAAUCCAACAAACAAAAUUCGCUGAAGCUUUUGAGCUCUGAGAAUGAAAGAAUGCGUCAAUGGCCCGAUACGAAUUUCUCUCUACGAGAUUCAAACCCGGCAUCAGAAAUUAAACACACUCAUUUUUAAGUUGUCAGGUGUUUCAACUUACUUCAUGGGUCCGGAAAACAGUUGUGAAAGCAUUUAGUUCCAUCCACCGCAUGAGCAACUCUUCACUCCUGUGAUACUUGAUAAAAGGUACACAAGGAGUACCUGCAACCAAAAUGCUGAGAUGGGAACCUUAUAAGCCUUCAGUUCAUCCCAAACACGUCGUACAGCUUCUGUUCCACCCUGCAUUCCAACAACAGCUCCAGAUAUAAUCCAGUUAGGAAGCUCUGGAGGCCUGCCGAUAGUCUCUGUUAAGUGUUCAAUAAGCUCAGAAGGUGAGUUGCCAUGCAAUAUUCUUCCUUCAGCUGAACUGCUAUGUAUCUGCAAGCUCCAUUAUACAGAAAACAGGAAACUGCAAGUUUAAACUCAAAUGAGCUUCUAUUUUGUACGUCUAAAAAGAAAAUUUCUGUUGCUCUUUUCAAAUAUAUAAAUAUAUAUAGAACCUAAUUUCUUAUCUAUGUAUAUUUGUAUAUUCGGAACGUGUUGUGAAUAGUUGAGUUUAUUAGACCAAGGUGAUUUAGACAGAAAAAUUCUAUAUCGUACUAGUGAUGUGUUGCUCUUCAA
Molecule: non-coding RNA, 736 nt
Organism: Jatropha curcas
Lineage: Eukaryota; Viridiplantae; Streptophyta; Magnoliopsida; Malpighiales; Euphorbiaceae
Source: RefSeq, a predicted model, not a curated record